This is a long non-coding RNA of Clarias gariepinus (North African catfish), 327 nucleotides long. RefSeq lists it as uncharacterized. The record is from RefSeq and is a predicted model, not a curated record. NCBI's taxonomy places the organism in Eukaryota, Metazoa, Chordata, Actinopteri, Siluriformes, Clariidae. The transcript is spliced from 4 exons.
UACUGUAACAUUAAAGGCAACCACAACUAAAGAGAAAUCCUUUAGAGGUUCUUUUGAGAUUCUUCAGUUUUCAUCGGUUUGGGGAGUUGUGAUACUCUGUGUGCUUGUGGCUUCAGGUUUAUUGACUGGUUUCUGUCUCCUUACCUUCCCCAGGACAGACGGAGGAGGAAGAUUUAAAGGUGAGCCUUCAUCAGCUUUUCUAACAACUAAGUCACUUGUCUGGUUGCCAGAUCCUCAUAAUAUACCUAUACUAAUUUUGUCGCAGACUUGUUGACAGAAACACAUUCACAUGGAUCUACUGCAGUUUUGUACAAUCUCAGUGUUGAC